Molecule: long non-coding RNA, 277 nt
Organism: Rosa rugosa (rugosa rose)
Lineage: Eukaryota; Viridiplantae; Streptophyta; Magnoliopsida; Rosales; Rosaceae
Exons: 3
Source: RefSeq, a predicted model, not a curated record
GGUUUACUGCUGUGCAUUUCGAGGUCUUGUUAAAAGCAUGCUGCGCAAAAAUCCAGAACUUAGACCAAGUCUACUUGGACUUCCUCCACUCUCAGAUGCAACACCAGCACCUCAACACACCCGCUCAUUGUUUUUAGGAAGUUUCUUUUGCACAUGUGGUGAAGGAACUAAUGUCCAUAAAUAGCUUCUAGGAUAUUGUAUUUCCUUUUCGAUUUGCAAUUAAGAAACUAUUUGUAUAUGAUGACUAUGAAUAUAAGUUCGCAUAUUCUUUUCUUAA